RNAcentral lists this ribosomal RNA (253 nucleotides) under uncultured bacterium. RNAcentral describes it as "partial 16S ribosomal RNA". It matches the Rfam family "Bacterial small subunit ribosomal RNA", at positions 524 to 776 of the family's 1533-position model. The record is from RNAcentral.
UACGUAGGGGGCAAGCGUUGUCCGGAAUCAUUGGGCGUAAAGAGCGUGUAGGCGGCUCGGUAAGUCCGCUGUAAAAGUCCAGGGCUCAACCCUGGAAAGCCGGUGGAAACUGUCGAGCUAGAGUCCGGAAGAGGCGAGUGGAAUUCCUGGUGUAGCGGUGAAAUGCGCAGAUAUCAGGAGGAACACCAAUGGCGAAGGCAGCUCGCUGGGACGGUACUGACGCUGAGACGCGAAAGCGUGGGGAGCAAACAGG